GCGGAGGAAAAGAAACCAACAGGGAUUGCCUCAGUAACGGCGAGUGAAGCGGCAACAGCUCAAAUUUGAAAUCUGGCUCUUUCAGGGUCCGAAUUGUAAUUUGCAGAGGAUGCUUUGGGUGCGGGCGCCUUCCGAGUUCCCUGGAACGGGACGCCAUAGAGGGUGAGAGCCCCGUCUGGUAGGAUGCCCAGCCCGUGUAAAGCUCCCUCGACGAGUCGAGUAGUUUGGGAAUGCUGCUCUAAGGGGAGGUAUACUCCUUCCAAAGCUAAAUACCGGCUGGAGACCGAUAGCGCACAAGUAGAGUGAUCGAAAGAUGAAAAGCACUUUGAAAAGAGAGUCAAAUAGCACGUGAAAUUGUUGAAAGGGAAGCGCUCGCUACCAGACUUGGGUACGCGGUUCCGUAGGUGCUCCGCACCUGCGUACUCCUCGUGCCCAGGCCAGCAUCAGUUCUUCGUCGGGUUAAAAGGCUUCGGGAAUGUGGCUCGCCUCGGUGAGUGUUAUAGCCCGUUGUGUCAUGCCCGGKGGGGGACUGAGGUACGCGCUCCGCAAGGAUGCUGGCGUAAUGGUAGCUAGUGACCCGUCUUGAAACACGGACCAAGGAGUCAACCUUAUGUGCAAGUGCCCGGGCGUAAAACCCCAGCGCGGAAUGAAAGUGAACGUAGGUGAGAGCUUCGGCGCAUCACCGACCGAUCCUGAUGUCCUCGGACGGAUUUGAGUGUGAGCAUAUAGGGUUGGACCCGAAAGAAGAUGAACUAUGCGUGUGUAGGGUGAAGCCAGAGGAAACUCUGGUGGAGGCUCGCAGCGGUUCUGACGUGCAAAUCGA
This 823-nucleotide unclassified non-coding RNA is filed under the name Acrostalagmus luteoalbus. Its description in RNAcentral is "sequence contains 28S rRNA gene". It matches the Rfam family "Eukaryotic large subunit ribosomal RNA", at positions 50 to 901 of the family's 3401-position model. The record is from RNAcentral. Lineage: Eukaryota; Fungi; Ascomycota; Sordariomycetes; Glomerellales; Plectosphaerellaceae.